Cucurbita maxima (winter squash) is the source of this 958-nucleotide long non-coding RNA. RefSeq lists it as uncharacterized. The transcript is spliced from 2 exons. NCBI's taxonomy places the organism in Eukaryota, Viridiplantae, Streptophyta, Magnoliopsida, Cucurbitales, Cucurbitaceae. The record is from RefSeq and is a predicted model, not a curated record.
GUAACAUGCCAAAAUGAACAAUAUUAGCAGUGAGUUGGGGCGGUUACACUCAUAAGACUUCUUUUGUAAAGGCUCAUUUAUGACUAUACUUACAAGAUUAAUGUUCGGAAUAGAAGCUGUAGUUGGGUUUGCAUGAGAAGGGAGGAGAGAAGAAAGAAACAAUAAUGAAAGAGGUUAUGAAAAUGAAGAAACAAAGGAAUUGUGGCCAGGUGGAUGUCGCGGCACUAAAUGUCAUCUAAGGCAAUAAAUCAAUCAAACUCUACCCCAGAUAGAAGCUACGCAAUUAUCGAUCCCAGCCAAUGAAUGCCAAUCCUUCUUUUAUUUAUAUUUACAUUCCUUCAAAUUGACAAAACCAACUUUGGGAAGCCACGCGUGACGUUAUACUCAAUGCGACUUUCUUAUUCUAUUUUCUCUCUAAUAUCUUCAAGAACUGCACAGGUGGGAGCAGACACUGAAGCUGGAAUGAAGGGGGAGAGAGAGCAGAAGAGGCAGAAGAACAGAGAUCUCAAGGAUGUGUGGACAUGUCUAGUUUUAGUUUUGGUAAGUGUAUCAGGGGGGUUCGUGAUGGGUUGGUGGGCGGUUCGGUUUCAUAGAUCACAGAAGCAACAAUGGAUGGUACCUUUUAGCCUUGUUUUGAUGAUCGCUCCCAUCUUCAUUUUGAUCUCUAUUUCCAUCUCCUGUUUCUGCACUUCCAUGGACAGAACUUCUUCUUUAGUCUCAUCCUUGGAUAAUGAUCGACCACCUGAAAUUAGAUGAUGAACAAGAUUACAUUACAUUGUCUUUUUGGGCAAAUGGGGGCUGGGAUAUUGGGGCUCCACCCCCACCAAUUCUAGGGAGACUUGCCUGCUCUAAGGCCAGUUCUAGUUGGUUUCAAGGGGACCUGCCUGCCCUAGUUGUCAUCAUUUCACCAAGAUUUACAUGUCACUACUAUAUCAUGAGAAAUUUUUGUUUUUUUUUU